RNAcentral lists this long non-coding RNA (247 nucleotides) under Nicotiana benthamiana. Its description in RNAcentral is "long non-coding RNA (NBEN_LNC007519)". The record is from RNAcentral. Lineage: Eukaryota; Viridiplantae; Streptophyta; Magnoliopsida; Solanales; Solanaceae.
UAAGGAUUGGGUCAUGGAACAUAGGCACUCUGACGGGUAAGUCCAUAGAGUUGGCGAAGAUUCUUCAGAAGAAGAGGGUUAACAUAGCGUGUGUCCAGGAGACUAGGUGGAAAUGGUCGAAGGCGAGGAAUGUAGAUGGGUUUAAGCUGUGGUAUUCUGGGGUCGUGAGAGGUAAAAAUGGAGUGGGCAUCUUGGUGGAUAGGGACCUAAGGGAGUCCGUGGUCGAGGUUAGGCGAGUGAAUGAUAG